RNAcentral lists this ribosomal RNA (460 nucleotides) under uncultured bacterium. Its description in RNAcentral is "partial 16S ribosomal RNA". It matches the Rfam family "Bacterial small subunit ribosomal RNA", at positions 338 to 795 of the family's 1533-position model. The record is from RNAcentral.
CCUACGGGAGGCAGCAGUGAGGAAUAUUGGUCAAUGGGCGCGAGCCUGAACCAGCCAAGUAGCGUGAAGGAUGACUGCCCUACGUGUUGUAAACUUCUUUUGUAAAGGAAUAAAGUGAGGCACGUGUCCCUUUUUGUAUGUACUUUAUGAAUAAGGAUCGGCUAACUCCGUGCCAGCAGCCGCGGUAAUACGGAGGAUCCGAGCGUUAUCCGGAUUUAUUGGGUUUAAAGGGAGCGGAGUUGGGUUGUUAAGUCAGUUGUGAAAGUUGGGGGCUCAACCGUAAAAUUGCAAUUGAUACUGGCAGUCUUGAGUACAGUUGAGGUAGGCGGAAUUCGUGGUGUAGCGGUGAAAUGCUUAGAUAGCACGAAGAACCCCGAUUGCGAAGGCAGCUUAACAAACCGCCACUGACAUUGAUGCUCGAAAGUGUGGGUAUCAAACAGGAUUAGAUACCCUUGUAGUC